CGAAUGGCGGUGUUGAUAUCAGUUCGUACCUCUCAUCUUCUCGCUGCCUGUGUCUGAGAUAAAUACAGUAUUUGAACUUAAUCCUUCAGGUUUUGUUUUGUUUUUCUUUUGUUUUUGCUUCGAGGGUCAUCAUGUCUGGGUGCGGCAACGCCAAUUGCAAGUGUGGUCCAUCUUGCACUUGCACCACCUGCUCGUGUGGAAAUAAAAUGGCCGAACCUGUUUUUGGUGGAUUUCGCAACUACAAUACUGAGAAUGGGUGCAAGUGCGGGCCGGAUUGCAAGUGCGACACCUGCGACUGCGACUGUCAUAAGUAAAUGAGAUCGAUCCGGCAUGUCCUAACGCUGGACCCCUCAUGAGAGGAUUAGAUUCUCUUGGGCUUUGUACAUAAAUGGGCAAGUAAAUGGUGCAUUUGUGGCUUUGAGUGUUGAGGAGUGUUGUGGAUGUCUUAGUUGUAAAAUCUUAUGACAUCAAAGUAUUGAAACGAGCUUUUGAACAAAUUUGUGUUUCGUUUACUUAACUUUGUGAAUAAAUAAGAGUUGAAGAUUUUUUCGUAGCUUAA
Long non-coding RNA from Physcomitrium patens, 559 nucleotides. RefSeq lists it as uncharacterized. Lineage: Eukaryota; Viridiplantae; Streptophyta; Bryopsida; Funariales; Funariaceae. The record is from RefSeq and is a predicted model, not a curated record.